RNAcentral lists this ribosomal RNA (102 nucleotides) under Candidatus Poribacteria bacterium. The record is from RNAcentral. Lineage: Bacteria; Candidatus Poribacteria.
UGCGGUGACAAUAGCGGUGAAAUACCCCUUCCCAUUUUGAACACGGAAGUUGAGCUCUUCAGCGCCGAUGAUACUUCGUGGGAAAGUAGGACGUCGCCGUAA